CAGUAGUGCUUUCUACCGCACUGUUUUUUUAAAUAUAUAACGUUAGCUAUCAAAAACGACAAAAGUUUUGCUAAUUUUCUUAACAACAUUGAUGCCCUGAAUUCCAAUUGAUCUAUCAAAAGAUCAGUUGGAAAAAGUGACAUGCUACUUUCUGCACACGCCACAGUCAGUGUGAACUGGAGUGACUUGACACAACACUGGCCAAACAAGGUAGCUACAAACAAAACAAAAAGUUAAAUGGUUCCUGUCUGCCGUGAAGCGUUCAUCCAUGUAUACGGGUGAUACAGAAACUGAUUCCACCAACAUGCCCUUCCAACCCCUAGCUCUGCACAAGGUGAAGGUGGUCCACAUGGUUGCUGUAUGGACAGUAGAGAGGACAUGGAUUUGUCGUUUGUCAUGCCCCUUUGCUGCCAGCUGUUGACCGUUCUCCUUGAACUCCGCCUCCCCUCUCUGCAUCUUCCUACAUCCGAAUGCUGGCAUCCCCUUCCUGUUUGACCUGACUGUGCCACAGGCCCCUGUGCUGUUAGAGAGCAGAUGCUGGAAGAGUGUGGGACUGCUGUAACAAUUGUCCAAACACAAAGUGUGUCCCUUGCUGACAUGAGUAGCCUGCAUGGUCAUCACCACUCACCCGGACACCCCAAGCCCCUCAUACUCAUCAAUGCAUAGGUCCUUGUAUGGCACAAAGACUCAACCAAAUGCUAUUGUCAGUCAGGCUGCUCCAAGGCAUAGCGAUUGGUCUCUACUAUGUCUCCCACCAGCUCCUCUGUCAGAAACAACUUGAAGCACUCUGCCUCAGAUGAAAAUGGCAAGGGGCGUUGCACUCCAGACUGGGACUCAUCAAAGCAAACAGCAGGGCCAGGACGGGUGAAACGGCUGGCAGCCUUCCAGCUACCACAGAACUCCUGUACUUCAUCCACUGUUGGCCUGCACUCCAUCACCACCAGCAUCUUCAAAGGGAACUGGGACUAUGUCAGUGGACAAGGGGUCCUCAGAUUCAGGAUUGGGGUAGCUCCUCACUGUUACUGUCAGAAUCUGAUUCCUGACUUUCAUACUCAGACUCAUUGUCAGAAUUAAAAAAAAUAUCCA
RNAcentral lists this long non-coding RNA (1086 nucleotides) under Salmo salar (Atlantic salmon). RNAcentral's name for it is "lncRNA (ENSSSAG00000106434.1)". The record is from RNAcentral. Lineage: Eukaryota; Metazoa; Chordata; Actinopteri; Salmoniformes; Salmonidae.